GGUAACUUGGUGCAGAGCAGGGGCUGGAGCUCAUCAGGAGAUAACAAGCUGCUUGACCUUCAGGGACUUCACAUACGUACUGCCAAACAACUGCAUGCAUUUUGUGCGCUGACUGGAUACACAGAUUCCUUCAAAAAGGCACCGAUGAUUCCUUUAGAGAAAGCAAAUGUUCCCAGCUCGUACAUUCAGUGCAGCACUGAAGAGUUUUUGCUGCUGUGCAAAUUACCCUCCAAAGCGCAUCAAGCAAUGAGCGCAUCCAGACAAAAUAUCAGCUGUGACACGCACAUCUGCUUUAAGAACACUGGAAUUACAGAGGGGAUCCAGCCUCCCACUGAGAGAACAGAGGAUGGCUACAGAAAGGUGCAGAGCUCUGCUGUCCAGUUCUCAUCACCUAAGUGCACUAAA
This is a long non-coding RNA of Coturnix japonica (Japanese quail), 405 nucleotides long. RefSeq lists it as uncharacterized. Lineage: Eukaryota; Metazoa; Chordata; Aves; Galliformes; Phasianidae. The record is from RefSeq and is a predicted model, not a curated record.